GUAGCUAUUAUUUUUACCUAUGUAUAAAUGAAGUACAAAGUUCCUUUCUCUCAGCUACCAUCUGUUCCACCCCAAGUAUUUUAGACAAAAAUAUUAAGUCUAGCAUUUUCAUUUGUUUUCACUUUUUUAGGCUGAGGAUGUUGGGAUGUACCUCAGUGUUAGAGCACAUGCUUAUUAGCAUAAAUGAGCACAUGCUUAUUAGCAUAAAUGAUAUCCAGAGUUCAAUCCCCAGAACAUCAAUAACAAAAAUUUCUAAUCAAGAUUGAAGCAACAAAUUCAAAAGUAUAGAAAUAAGAUGGGUAUUCAAAGCAUAGAAAAUAAAAUGUAUUGCCAUUAUGUGUUUUAGCAAGUAAGAUAACUUUCACAAGGAAGUUGCAUAGUCCAUGACCUUACAAAUUAUCUCAUUAUAUUCACCCAGAAUCCCACAUGGGGAUUGGUAAACUCCUUUCAGAGUUAGGUCUCAAUAGAACCCACCAUAGUUUCAUAAGUAUCAGUGAUUGUUCCUUCCAAUGAAAAAGGAGGAAAAAAAAAUAGGAAGCUUGGGGUCUAGCUGUCACAAGUUUUUUUUUUUUUUUUUCUUUUUCCUUUUUCUUUUAAUGCUGACCUUUCAAGUUAAUGAGCUGAACUCUCAUGGAAAAUGUGGAAACUGGUUUCUUCACCAACCCUAGGCCUAUCCUUCAAAUUUAGAAGUUUCAUUGUUAACUGAUGUAUCCACCAGAACAUCCUAAACAGCAGGAUAUGUGAAUAUGAUAGCUAGGUCAUGACCUAGUAAAAAAAAGACCAAGGCAACUGUAGGAUUCUUUGGCUAAAUGAGAAAUACAAUGAUGAAAGAAGCAAUUAGCCAUUUACUUCAGUAAAAAUCUUACUGUGUGAAAGGGUUGUAAGCAGUAAAAUAUGUAAUUUAUUGACUAAUUUUUAUGUGUAUAUGAAUGAAAUCUUAUUGCUGAUAAAAAUCUGAAUAUCUAUACAUAAGCAUGUAUAGAUUUAUAUGUAAGGUGCAUGCCAGGUGACUACUUAUACCCAGAUAAUUGAAUAAUGAAUGUAUGUGCCAGACAUCAUGGGCUAAAUAGUUGAAUGGGAAAGUUAUACUGUAAUAAUACCAAAACAUCUUCAUGAGUAACUGUAAUCAUUCAAUCAAG
RNAcentral lists this long non-coding RNA (1139 nucleotides) under Marmota monax (woodchuck). The record is from RNAcentral. Lineage: Eukaryota; Metazoa; Chordata; Mammalia; Rodentia; Sciuridae.